This 89-nucleotide microRNA precursor is filed under the name Canis lupus familiaris (dog). RNAcentral's name for it is "mir-8799 microRNA precursor family". It matches the Rfam family "mir-8799 microRNA precursor family". The record is from Rfam by way of RNAcentral. Lineage: Eukaryota; Metazoa; Chordata; Mammalia; Carnivora; Canidae. RNAcentral also lists the same sequence under 1 other name.
GGGGGGAGGCCGGAUCAUGGCCUGUGUCCCGGCGCCCUGUGCUCCCGGCCUGCACUGUUGGAUUCACGCUCCCGGCCCUGCAGCCCCCU